GAUGAACGCUAGCUACAGGCUUAACACAUGCAAGUCGAGGGGUCUUUCUGGAGCUUGCUUUAGAAAGACGACCGGCGCACGGGUGAGUAACGCGUAUCCAACCUGCCCUUCAUAUGGUAUAGCCUCCCGAAAGGGAGAUUAAUCCCCGAAUAACAUAGAGUGAUUGCCUGAUUUCUCGUAUGAAAGCUCCGGCGAUGAAGGGUGGGGAUGCGUUCCAUUAGGUAGUAGGCGGGGGUAACGGCCCACCUAGCCGACGAUGGAUAGGGGUUCUGAGAGGAAGGUCCCCCACACUGGAACUGAGACACGGUCCAGACUCCUACGGGAGGCAGCAGUGAGGAAUAUUGGUCAAUGGGCGCAAGCCUGAACCAGCCAAGUAGCGUGAAGGAUGACUGCCCUAUGGGUUGUAAACUUCUUUUAUACGGGAACAAACGAAGGUACGUGUACCUUUUUGCGUGUACCGUAUGAAUAAGCAUCGGCUAACUCCGUG
This 487-nucleotide ribosomal RNA is filed under the name uncultured bacterium. RNAcentral describes it as "bacterial SSU rRNA". It matches the Rfam family "Bacterial small subunit ribosomal RNA", at positions 28 to 507 of the family's 1533-position model. The record is from RNAcentral.